UGAGGAAUAUUGCGCAAUGGGGGAAACCCUGACGCAGCAACGCCGCGUGAAGGAAGACGGUUCUCGGAUUGUAAACUUCUUUUGUCAAGGACGAUAAUGACGGUACUUGACGAAUAAGCCACGGCUAACUACGUGCCAGCAGCCGCGGUAAUACGUAGGUGGCAAGCGUUGUCCGGAAUUACUGGGUGUAAAGGGCGAGUAGGCGGGACUGUAAGUCUGGCGUGAAAUCUGGUGGCUUAACCACCAAACUGCGUUGGAAACUAUGGUCCUUGAGUGAUGGAGAGGCAGGCGGAAUUCCCGGUGUAGCGGUGGAAUGCGUAGAUAUCGGGAGGAACACCAGUGGCGAAGGCGGCCUGCUGGACAUUAACUGACGCUGAGGAGCGAAAGCGUGGGGAGCAAACA
RNAcentral lists this ribosomal RNA (402 nucleotides) under uncultured prokaryote. Its description in RNAcentral is "bacterial SSU rRNA". It matches the Rfam family "Bacterial small subunit ribosomal RNA", at positions 355 to 774 of the family's 1533-position model. The record is from RNAcentral.